Fukomys damarensis (Damara mole-rat) is the source of this 281-nucleotide non-coding RNA. The record is from Rfam. Lineage: Eukaryota; Metazoa; Chordata; Mammalia; Rodentia; Bathyergidae.
AGAUGCAAGGGUGAUCCUGCAGCAAUACCAGUCACCCUAUUGAUCACCAGGGUUGGUUCGGCUGAUCUGUCUAGGUGGGUGUCCCUUUCCUCCUUUACCACUCCAUGUGCCUCCCUGCUGAAGCUGCACACUUAGUGAAAGAGGACGACAACCCCAGAUAGAAGAGGAGCAUUUCCUUGGUCAGGGUAUUUGGGUAGUUAUGCUCCCCUGCAGGAAUCUCCAAACAAGCACUCAAGGUCCAUUUGAAAUAGUCUUGCAAAGUUGCCCAGACUGGCCUUGUC